AGUGAACGCUGGCGGUAGGCCUAACACAUGCAAGUCGAACGGCAGCACAGUAAGAGCUUGCUCUUACGGGUGGCGAGUGGCGGACGGGUGAGGAAUACAUCGGAAUCUACUUUUUCGUGGGGGAUAACGUCGGGAAACUUACGCUAAUACCGCAUACGACCUACGGGUGAAAGCAGGGGAUCUUCGGACCUUGCGCGAUUGAAUAAGCCCAUGUCGGAUUAGCGAGUUGGCGGGGUAAAGGCCCACCAAGGCGACGAUCCGUAGCUGGUCUGAGAGGAUGAUCAGCCACACUGGAAGUGAGAGACGGUCCAGACUCCGACGGGAGGCAGCAGUGGGGAAUAUUGGAAAAUGGGCGCAAGCCUGAUCCAGCAAUACCGCAUGGGUGAAGAAGGCCUUCGGGUGUUAAAGCCCUUUUGUUGGGAAAGAAAAGCAGCAGGUUAAUACCACGCUGUUCUGACGGUACCUAAAGAAUAAGCACCGGCUAACUUCGUG
Molecule: ribosomal RNA, 492 nt
Filed under: uncultured bacterium
Lineage: Bacteria
Description: partial 16S ribosomal RNA
Rfam family: Bacterial small subunit ribosomal RNA
Source: RNAcentral